This 5313-nucleotide long non-coding RNA is filed under the name Musa acuminata (dwarf banana). RNAcentral describes it as "long non-coding RNA (MACU_LNC005578)". The record is from RNAcentral. Lineage: Eukaryota; Viridiplantae; Streptophyta; Magnoliopsida; Zingiberales; Musaceae.
GUACUAAGCGUUGUCUAUAUUCUUGAGAGAUGUCCAACCACUGCUGCUGCUGAAGCCAGCCCACGGUCGUCUUGCUAAGCUGCACGGCCUGGGCAAGAAUGUAAUCAGCGAUGGGCGGCUUCGAUCCGAACAGUGCGUUGGCGGUGGUGACGAGACCCGGGCUCUGGCUGCCAAAGGUAGCGAACGCCACCGCAUCGGUGUCCCCGAUGUUGAACUGGAAGUGUAUGAGGCCCCUGGGGAACACAAACGCGUCGCCCUUCUGCAGCUUCUUCGCGAAGAGAAGGUUGCCGUUUUCCGUGUUGGAGGUGACGAAGCCGGCGUAGAGCGUUCCUUCCGCCACGUGCAGUAUCUCCGACGAUCGUGGAUGCGAGUGAGGAGGGUUGAGACCGAAGGGCGCGUAGUCGAUGCGAGACAUGGCGACGCCAAGGGAGUUGAGGCCUGGGAGUCGUUCCACGUUGACGAGAGUGAUGUUUGCGCCUAGCUCGUUGGCGGUGCUCGCGGGCUUGUCUAAGCCGGUGAAGUAGAAGUCAUCUGCCGUGACAUCCUUAGCUUUCUUGCAGGCGAAUCCGUUCACAAACACUGCAGCGUGCACGAUGAACAGGCUUUAGCAACUUGAGCAAGUACACACACGAGGACCUAACUAGCUAGCUACGAGGAUAACGAUGCCUACCGUUGGAGUCGUAGUCAGCAACGCAAAAGUCUUGGAGAGGACUCGGAUCAAAUGCCAAUGCAUGAGAGGAAGCCAGGGCAAGAAGAGCAGCGAUGAGGGUGAUCCUAGCAGCCAUCUGCACUCUCUUCGAACAAGCAAGAUGAAAUGAUGCAAGUUUCUUUGUGACUGGCCUCAGGAAUCGGGAUGUAUAUAUAGAAGGCCCCGUGGUAGUGUUCAAUUGUGAACUGGUCGAUAGAGUAUGUAUUCCGCACGGCAGUGUGCUGACUAAUUCAGCUGAUGACGACCUCGACUGCCAAUGACAACUCCCUCAGUUCCAACCUAGAUCUACCACUAACCUAAGGUUCAUGAAAGUUUUGGUUGGAUAAUAUGUCAUUUUGGAGCAUCCAACAUCGACCCUUCUGCCCCAUCAGUAUCACGUUCUUGACAUUUUUAUAUCUUGGUGGCAAUGACCAGUUAAUAGCCAAUGAAAUUUUAUCAGCCAAUGCUUCUACACUACCAAAUUUAGUAUGUAAUCGUGGUAUCAUAAUUGAGGAUAUGAGGAAGAAGUUGAGAGCAAUUUGUCUUGCUUCAUUUUAUGCGCUAAACUCCACUGCGGCAGCCGAAUGCCUUGACUCCUUGUUCACUUGUCGACCAAGGAACUUUGAAUACUGAAACUUCUUCCACGUAUGCUUCUGCAUGGAAAUUUUAGUUCCUUCGGUCAUUAAAGAGACAAAACAAGAAAGCUUAACUGAUUGAAACGCGAAAAUGAUCGGAUAUUCAUAUUCUAAUUUGAGCCCUUUCUUUCUUCUGCCCAAACGUCAAGUAAUUUUAAGUAAACGAAAACCAUCUGAUAUCGUAUUCUAAUUUGAUAGGUCCGAGCGAGCCAUUGGUUGGCAAGGACUUGAGCCCUUUCUUUCGUUCUUCUGCUCAGGUGCAAGAUGUUUAGCGAAUGCCCAUUAAUUUUCUUGGUUUUCGGAUACCUAUAUAUGCUCUUCCUUGCUGUAUCCGUCAAUCAACGUGAAGAGUAUAAGAUGAAACGUUCUAAACACAAAGAUAAGAAAGCAAUACAAGAGAUGGGACGUCGACGGUGGAAUAUUCGAAGAAGUAUUCAAUUCGGUACGUUCGAUCAUUUCCAAACGUGACUGUGAUGCAAUGAACCUAUCCAGGUUUUGAGAAAGACAUGAGACCGUCACCAGGCAAUAACUAGGGGAUUAGGCAUCAGUACUUGGCAUGUUUUAUUAUUAUUAUCGCUUGAAUCGCAUCGAAAGCUCGACUGACCUCUCAUCUUGUCAAAUCACAACAACAAGUAAAACAACGACUAUGAAGGAUCGCUGAUAUGCCAUUUACUCACAAAGAGCCGUUGACCAUGUUGCACUGGAUCACCCACUUACCUAGUGAUCAUCUCCGGGAAACUUCUCUGCCUUUCACCAAGCUCUCAUCGAGACAUAGAAUAAUGUAAUACUUUGAUGCGGAUGCAGAUGAUCGUAUGCGACGUUCAAGCUCUUCCAGAUCAGUUCUUCAUCUGAUUGUUUGAUAAACGUUAUACACUUUCAACGCGGAUCUAAUCCCUAAUAAACAAAAAGAACUCUCUGUAUUAGAUCUCGGUUAAACUGUUGCACAAGGCAUAUAAGUCAACGAUUGAGCUGACUGUAAAUUUCUUUCGGUGGUCAAAAUCACUACAAUACGACGUGCAUGAACCAUCUCCACCUCCUCUUCCUCUUCUCACUCUAUAAUCUCUCAAUCUCCCCAAAGGCUUCCUCCUCCUCUUAACGCCGUCUCCUACUCUACCUCUAACCCCCUCCUCCCACUCUAUCUCCACCACCACCAUCUUGUUCUCUCACUUUGUCUAAAAAUAAAAAAAAUAUAUAUAUUAAUUUUAAAUUAGUUUCAUUUUGAGUGUUACUAGGUCAAAUAUUCGUUUUUUUUUUCUUUAUGAAAACGAAAAAAAAGGAGAGAAAUAUGUAUUCACUUGUAGUUGGUAGGUUGGACUGAAUCUUUACCUCAAUUUUGUCUUAUGUUGGAGUCCGGCUAGUCCCUUCUAAUUAAGUUCUCGGGCGUCAUCCCGGAUGGCUGUCGACGACGAUAUUUUGACUAAGGCUACUCUAAUUAUUAGGUGACGAGAGCCAGGACGUACAGACUGAGGCUUUCAGAAUUCUCAGGAGACUGCUGACCACCCUUUUGAUUUUGCCGCGUGGCCAAGUUGCCAAGAAGUUUCUCUUGGCCAAUCAUUCAUGGUUCAGAAACCUGGACCUGCACGGUUCUAACCUUUUAUGUAUGCACGAGUUCCUUGUGCUCUAACAUUCCUCAUUCGCCAAGUACACACACAAAGAAGUAGCUAGCUACGAGGAUAACCAUGCCUACCAUUGGAGUCGCAGUCAUCAACACAAAAGUAUUGGAGAGGACUCAGAACAGAUGCCGAUGCAUGAGAGGAAGCCAGGGCAAGAAGAGCAGUUAUGAGGAUGACCCUAGCAGCCAUCUGCACUCUCUUUCGAGAGCUGUCGUAAAUUAAGAUACGAACAAGCAAUAUGAUUUGAGAAUGGCCAGCUUCAGCAGCGGGGACGUAUACAUAGAAGGCUAUUUGGUGAAUUAGUCGAUAGUGCAUGUAUUCUUCACGUUAAGAUGCUGACCAGUUAAGUGGAUAAUGACUGAUGGCAAGCUGCGAUAGUGAAUCCGCCUUCACCACUAAAUGUUAAGAUCAUUUAGUUGAAGCCUGUCGGGCUUCUGCUUGUCGGACGGCACCUCUUCCUUGUUCAAAUAUUAUUUUCAAGAAAGAAAUACUGUGUAGAGAGAGAGAGAGAGAGAGAGAGAGAGAGGGAAACAUUCACACAUUAUAAAUAUUAUUAGUGAUUAUUAUCAGUAGAUAAUAGUGACAGAUGAUAUAUUAGACUGCCGAAUUUUAUGGGGCAUAAACAAGGCGUACGUGAACCCCCCCAUCUUUUAGCACAUUAAGCAUGAUAAAUCAUGGUAUCGUUGACUAUGACGAUGCAAGAAUCAGGACGCAUAGACACAUGCAGCAGUAGUUGGCAUGUUUCUUUGGUCGUAUACAUUGCAAGCUCAUCAUCUCAUCCAAGUGCAACAAAAGUAAAACGACGACUUUGACCGAUUCCUUACGUGGCACUUAUAGCGGUGUUCCGUUUCUCACAAACGGCCAGCCAUUGACCAUUCAAGACCAAUAUAUGAUUGGGCUCGAAUGAGAAGGAUGAUCCUUGGAUGACUAACGUGCUUGUUCCGUCUUCUCGAAUGCUUUGCUUUCAUCGCAUAUGAAUUUGUUGACGGAUCAAGCAUGCACGCAACAAUAGGCACAUUUGCAUACGUCAAUGUUGUGUUUUCCAAAGAGAGGAUGCGUCAGUGUUGAUGACAUGUUGUUGUAUAUUUCAAAUUGGACUUGUGAUUCUUGCAAAUAUGUAGAAUAUUGAACGCAUAGGUAGGUGAGAGGUGGAUGAAAUGCAGCGCAUGAUAUUGUGAUAUUUUGGAUGGAUGAAAACGUUGAAGUGAAGGAAAAUAAAUAAAUCAUCAUCUUCCUCGUCUCCUCUUCAAACCCAAUCCUAUGAUUAAUUUUGGUGACUCGGAAGAAACAGUUCAAGUUUCGAUUGGUAACAUGGAAGUAUCAUCAUUUAGACGAUAAAGAAAGAAAACUAAAAUUUUUAGUUUAUGAAGACGAGAUCGUGUUUGUUCAACCUGAUUCCCGAUGAGAUUUAGCCGAGAAUAUAGCUAAGCAUAUAUCCUCAGAAGAAGAAGAAGACUGCUGAUCAUCUUCCCUUGCAAGCCCAAGUUUGCUACCAAACAUGAGUGAGUCACUUUGGACACACUUGCGGGCAUGCAAGCAAUGUUGUUUAUCUAAAAUUCUGGCUUCCAUAGAAAAAUCAUUAAUAUCAUGCAACUCCACGAUGUCAUGCUGAUUAUCCAAAAUUCUAGCCAGAAAUGCGUUGCUCUUUCAUAGAUACAUCAUUAGUGGUGUGCAACUCCACGUCGGAUACGAAAGGCAAUGCUACUGCUAGCUCGAAGAUGCAGGCAGUCUCUCCUUCCUUCCUUCUAAAGGAGACUUGUUUAUUCAUAACAUAAAUCACACAUGAGGUACUUGGAGUAAUUACAAUCAUGUAUUAUGCAAGCAUAUAUAUAUACAUACUCGACUCGACCAUACGUGAGUAUUUUGUUGGACUGUAUGCAUCUUAAGAAGCGGUACCACACCCUAAGCUUCUUGAGCGAUGUCCACCCACUGCUGCUUCUGAAGCCAGUCCACGGUGGUCUUGUCAAGUUGGACGGCCUGGGCAAGAAUGUAAUCGGGGAUGGACGGGUGCGAUCCGAACAGUGCGUUGGCUACGGUGACGAGGCCAGGGCUCUGGCUGCCAAAAGAAGCGAACGCCACCGCGUCGGUGUCCCCGACAUUGAACUGGAAGUGGAUGAGGCCCUGCGGGAACACGAACGCGUCGCCCUUCUUCAGCUUCUUCGCGAAGAGAAGGUUGCCCUGUUGGUUGUUGGACGUGACGAAGCCGGCGUAGAGCGUCCCUUCCGCCACAUGCAGUAUCUCCGACGAGUGUGGGUGCGAGUGAGGAGGGUUGAGACCGAAGGGCGCGUAGUCGAUGCGAGACAUGGCGACGCCAAGGGUGUUGAGGCCCGGGAGUCGGGCGGCGUUGACGAGAGUGAUGUUUGCGCCGAGCCGGUUG